UAACACGCAGUUUGAGAAUUGCGAAAAUAAUCACCCGCUUCUUGCCACAUACUUUUCACUUUUUUAUUAUCAUUAUUAUAAUUUGUUUUAGGAUUUAGGGUGCUUAUAUUGCGUUUAUUGUUGUUCUUGUUGUUGUUUUAACCCCGAGUGUCUUGUUUACACUUAAAUGAUGCAUCUUUAAAAACAAUCAAACUAAACUGUGUGUCAUAAUCAGGCACCGAUAACAAGAUAUUGAAAUUGUGCAUCGCUGUGAUGUUGACGCUGCGUUUUUUUUUAAUUUAUUUUAUUUAAAGUGAAGUUAGACGUAAUAUGAAAUCGUGUCUGCUAGUCCAGACAUUUGUGAGAUGAGAUGGAGGAAAGAUGGAACUCCAAAACCCCUGGAGGUUUUUCGAUAUCAAAAGGAUCUCAAGUGGAGCCCUGGCACAGUACUCCUGUAAAAAAGAAUGUUUUUGCUGCUAAAGAGACCCCAGAUGUUUCUUCCACCAAACUCGGAGAUGAAAACAGAUCAAGACCUGCAGCGCUGAGUCUGCAUGACCUCUCAAAACCGAUGUCCUCUUUCUCAUUAAUGCAAGAUUAUCAGAGCCCAGUUAAUGGAUUGGAGGUCUCCACUAUCCAGAGGCAGCGUCUGGAGCUGCAGCUUCUCAUAGCAGAACUGAAGGACCGUGAACAGGAGCUCAAUACUACGGCAGCAGCCCAUCACAAGCAGCUCCUGUCCUGGGAACAGGACCGUCAAAGAGUGCUGAUCCUGGAACAGAGAUGUGCCCGACUGGAGGAUGAGCUGGAGAAGCGUAAUGAAGUGAUCAGAGCUCUCAGUAAGCAGACAAAGGUGUCGGAAACGAGAGAGAAAGAUGUGUCCAGAGAGCUCAACAGCUCCCAACAGCAGCUUCACGAGCUGAGCCGCAGACAGAUGAACAUCUCCAGACAUGAGCACGACUUGGAGGAGAGGAACCAGAGUCUGGACUCCACGGUCAUGAGGCUGUCAUCACAGCUGGGACAGCUGCAGGUGCGCGAGGUGGAGGUCAGCUCCAUGCUUAAACUGAAGGAUAGAGACGUGAUUGAGGCCACCAAUCACAUUUUAGAGCUGUCCGGUCAUCUGUGUGAACUGCAGAAAUCACUUGAAGAGCUGCGAACACGUGAGAGCAAAAUGCUGCGGGAAAUGGAGGAACACAAACACUGUUUCAGAGAGAGCAGACAUGAAAACACACAACUGAAAGCCGAGCUUCAGGAAAAAACCAUUGAGAACAAUAACCAGAGAGAAGAGCUCAUCCGCUUAAAGCAGGAAAACCAGCUGUUGAAGAAAGACAUCACUGCUGUUGAACUUCAUAUGAUGAAUGAAGAUAAAAGCUGGAGGGAUGAAUUACUUGAACUCUCCCGAUCAAAACAAUCUCCAGCUGAAUCUGAGCUGCUCUGUCUGCGGCAGGUGUGUGAAAACCAAAAAAAUGACCUCCAGCUGCUAAAGCUGAACUUGGAGAGCACCAGAGAGUCACUCCGACAUCAUGAGGGUCAAAGGUCACGGGAGAGGGCUGAUUCUGUUUUAGGAGACACUCAUGUGCUAGAAUACAGUGAUCAUCAAGAAGGGACAGAACUAGAAACAGGGCUAAUGUCCAUCCUGUGCCACAGCACAAGCAGAAAUGCCCCAUCGGGUUUAACACAGCAUCUUUGUGUUGAAAUGGAAACGCAGACUGACUCUGAGCAUGACUUUAGCACAGCUUUGAGUGCAACAAACCAUGAAGUCACAGAACAGUCAGCCGUAGAGGAAAAUUGCUCAGGCGCCAACAUUACGAACAGCUGUGCAACUAGCCAGUGUGACAUCAAUGAGCAAGAAUCACCCAAGAUGGUAAUAAAGGAAAGAGCGAACAAUUGUGUUGCGGCGUCAUCCCAGUCUCUCUGCUGUGAUAACGCUGACAGCCCAUCAGAAGAUCCACAGAGUCGGGCAGUGUAUUCUGACACUAGAGCUGAUGUGGAUUUAAUGGCUGUCAUUGACUAUGAUUCAGAGACAGGAACUCCUUUCUGUGUAGUCGAUGUGGAUAUCAGUCCAAGAUUCUCUUGUGUUGCAGAUCUGAGCCUUCUUAAUCUGGAUUGCCCCUCCCCCUCACACAGAAGUAGGCGGAGCUCUGUCUGUUUACCUGAUUCUAUGCUAAGCAUUGAACUCUGUGCCAAUGAUGUAGCUUGCCAAGGCAAUGAGGAGAGCUACAGCUCAUCCACAACACGGUUACAGCGUCUGCCGGCUGAGUCUCAGGAAAUGGUUUCAAGUUUGGAAAGUUCUAUCAAGAAAAAUGUCAACCCGACAGAACCUCAGAGUCCAAUGAACUGUGAUGCUGGUUGUCACCGCCAAAGUAACUAUGAAAACAGCAGCCACUCCCAAACCUCCACCCAUAACCAAACACGCGGGCAAAGUGACUCCCAGAUUGAAAGCAGCCCACGUUUGCAUCAAGGAAUCAAGUCAUGAGGUCCAUAAAGCCAUGAGAAGCAGUGAAUCCCCAUUAACUAUCAUCUUCUCUCACUGCUUCUAAAAAAUACAUCAGUUUUUUGCAACCAAAGAGGAGUUUUCUGAAGAUAACAAUUUCACUGUCAUCUAACCUGUUUGGUGAACUGUGAUGUGGCUCUUUUCUGGAUCAUCGUGUUUUACAUCCGAAAUGCAGUCUCGUUCCCACAGAAAAGACAAGGAGCCAUCAGCCUUAUCAAAAGCCACUGAACUGCAGUAUAUUUGCCUGAUCUCAGGACAUCUAAAAGAACAAUAAAGCUCUUUACAUGCUGCCAUUAUCGGUUUCUUUUAAUUGGUUGUUUUGAUU
Molecule: RNA transcript, 2792 nt
Organism: Carassius auratus (goldfish)
Lineage: Eukaryota; Metazoa; Chordata; Actinopteri; Cypriniformes; Cyprinidae
Gene name: coiled-coil domain-containing protein 62-like
Exons: 15
Source: RefSeq, a predicted model, not a curated record